RNAcentral lists this small RNA (339 nucleotides) under Pongo abelii (Sumatran orangutan). RNAcentral's name for it is "sense intronic". The record is from RNAcentral. Lineage: Eukaryota; Metazoa; Chordata; Mammalia; Primates; Hominidae.
CCUCCGCCUCCCAGGUUCAAGCGAUUCUCUCGCCUCAGCCUCCUGAGUAGCUGGAACUAUAGGCGUACGCCACCAUACCUGGCUAAGAAAUUAACUUUAAUAACAUUUUAAUUAAGCUAACAUAUUUAAAAUAUUAUUUCAACAUACAAUCAAUAUUUUUAAUUUACUUUUUUUAUUUUUUUGAGACAGUCUCACUCUGUUGCCCAGGUUGCAGUGAGCUGAGAUCAUACCACCGAGCUCCAGCCUGGGCGACAGAGCGAGACCAUGUCAAAAAAAAAAAACAGGAGUGGGACUGUCUGGUUCUGGCCUGAUCAUGGAAUUCUGGGGACACGGGGUGAA